This 78-nucleotide small RNA is filed under the name Escherichia coli. RNAcentral's name for it is "Nucleoid-associated noncoding RNA 4 (CssrE)". The record is from RNAcentral. Lineage: Bacteria; Pseudomonadati; Pseudomonadota; Gammaproteobacteria; Enterobacterales; Enterobacteriaceae.
GGACGGAUAAGGGUGUUUAUGCCGCAUCUGGCAUUCAGUGCAAAUGCCAGAUGCGACGCUGACGCGUCUUAUCUGGCC